This 184-nucleotide ribosomal RNA is filed under the name Candidatus Bathyarchaeota archaeon. RNAcentral's name for it is "partial 23S ribosomal RNA". It matches the Rfam family "Archaeal large subunit ribosomal RNA", at positions 2848 to 2987 of the family's 2987-position model. The record is from RNAcentral. Lineage: Archaea; Thermoproteati; Candidatus Bathyarchaeota.
CUAAGCCCGAAGCCUCUCCCGAAAAUAGGCAGCCAAUCCCCAAAAUGGCUGGGCUGGCAACAGCCUGCGCCGAGGGGACGAGGGCUCCCAUAGAAGAUGGGUUUGAUGGAGCCGGGGUGUAAGCCGGAAGGCUUCGGCCGACCGGUUCAGCCUGCGGCCCCCAACCGCCCGAGGUGUCGGGCUC